CNAGNGGCGGACGGGUGAGUAAUGCCUAGGAAAUUGCCUUGAUGUGGGGGAUAACCAUUGGAAACGAUGGCUAAUACCGCAUAAUGCCUACGGGCCAAAGAGGGGGAUCUUCGGACCUCUCGCGUCAAGAUAUGCCUAGGUGGGAUUAGCUAGUUGGUGAGGUAAUGGCUCACCAAGGCGACGAUCCCUAGCUGGUCUGAGAGGAUGAUCAGCCACACUGGAACUGAGACACGGUCCAGACUCCUACGGGAGGCAGCAGUGGGGAAUAUUGCACAAUGGGCGAAAGCCUGAUGCAGCCAUGCCGCGUGUAUGAAGAAGGCCUUCGGGUUGUAAAGUACUUUCAGUUGUGAGGAAGGGUGUGUAGUUAAUAGCUGCGCAUCUUGACGUUAGCAACAGAAGAAGCACCGGCUAACUCCGUGCCAGCAGCCGCGGUAAUACGGAGGGUGCGAGCGUUAAUCGGAAUUACUGGGCGUAAAGCGCAUGCAGGUGGUUCAUUAAGUCAGAUGUGAAAGCCCGGGGCUCAACCUCGGAACUGCAUUUGAAACUGGUGAACUAGAGUGCUGUAGAGGGGGGUAGAAUUUCAGGUGUAGCGGUGAAAUGCGUAGAGAUCUGAAGGAAUACCAGUGGCGAANGCGGCCCC
RNAcentral lists this ribosomal RNA (640 nucleotides) under Vibrio sp. MR04-08. Its description in RNAcentral is "bacterial SSU rRNA". It matches the Rfam family "Bacterial small subunit ribosomal RNA", at positions 92 to 728 of the family's 1533-position model. Lineage: Bacteria; Pseudomonadati; Pseudomonadota; Gammaproteobacteria; Vibrionales; Vibrionaceae. The record is from RNAcentral.